This is an RNA transcript of Mastomys coucha (southern multimammate mouse), 654 nucleotides long. It is a transcript of the gene named la-related protein 7 pseudogene, with no coding region annotated. The transcript has a single exon. The record is from RefSeq and is a predicted model, not a curated record. Lineage: Eukaryota; Metazoa; Chordata; Mammalia; Rodentia; Muridae.
GGGAGACGGAAAGCGUGGAAGAGAACACAGGCGCUGACUAUGAAUCUGGGGACGUGCACAGAAAUGGAAACUGAAAACCAAAAAACUAUGGAAGAAAGCACUGAGAAGAGAAAAGAAGAAAAAAAGAAGCGAUCACGGGUUAAACAGGUGCUUGCAGAUAUUGCUAAGCAGGUGGACUUCUGGUUUGGAGAUGCAAACCUUCACAAGGACAGGUUUCUGCGAGAGCAAAUUGAAAAGUCUAGAGAUGGAUAUGUGGACAUUUCUCUCCUGGUAUCUUUUAACAAAAUGAAGAAGCUGAUAACUGAUGGGAAGCUAAUAGCCAGAGCGCUGAAAAGCUCAUCUGUUGUAGAGUUGGACUUAGAAGGGACCAGAAUCAGGAGGAAAAAACCCCUAGGAGAGAGACCAAAGGACGAGGAAGAACGCACAGUAUAUGUGGAGUUGCUCCCCAAAAAUGUCACUCAAAGCUGGAUUGAGAGAGUAUUUGGGAAAUGCGGCAAUGUGGUUUACAUAAGCAUUCCACAUUACAAGUCUAUUGGGGAUCCUAAGGGAUUUGCCUUUGUGGAGUUUGAAACAAAAGAGCAAGCAGAAAAAGCCAUUGAGUUUCUGAACAACCCACCAGAAGAAGCACCUAGAAAGCCUGGCAUAUUCCCCAAG